Molecule: non-coding RNA, 1150 nt
Organism: Maylandia zebra (zebra mbuna)
Lineage: Eukaryota; Metazoa; Chordata; Actinopteri; Cichliformes; Cichlidae
Source: RefSeq, a predicted model, not a curated record
GGCGUAUUAAUCAGAGUGCAGAUGCACUAUCCAGAUAUCCAUCACCUGUAGUAUCCGAGGCUACAGAGGGACAAAGGGAAGAAGUAGAGGUUCCAUCCUUUAAACAGGUUGAAGUAAAUGUGGUCAGAGCAAUGUGUGUUGGCGUAAGCAACUCUAACCAGGAGGGUUUACAAAAUGUAACCUGUGGUGUGCCUCUGUUUCCUGAACGCACGCCAUCUCAGUGGUCUGCCUUGCAAGGGGAGGACUCAACGCUAAGAAGGGUGGCUCUGUUAUCUACAGAGGGGCCAUCAGCCAAAUAAGCGUGAGAGGCAACAGGAGUCUAAACCUGUUCUGUCUUCUGCGGCACUGGGAACGACUGUCACUAAAAGAUGGAGUGCUGUGUCGGACAUCACAUGAUACCAAGGAGGUCGAUCCAGUAGUUCAAAUUUUGGUUCCUGAGGGUGAGAAGUAUUCUAUAUGGCAACCGUACCAUGAAUAUGCAGGACACUGGGGCCCAGAAAAAACAAUAUCCCUCAUUAAAAGAAGAUAUUUCUGGCCCAAAUUAAAUGCUGAUGUUAUAAAUUGGUGUUCCCAAUGUAAGGCCUGUGUCCUGCGUAAAGCGGCUGCUGCGAAACAUGCUCCGUUGAUUCCCAUUAAGACAUCUGCACCCAUGGAACUGUUGUCUGUAGACUUUUUGUCUAUAGGUGUGUGACAGGUGAGACCUGGAGACUUGGGACCGCCCCUGGUGGGCGGAGCUGGUCUUCGCUCCUUUCAUAAGCGCAGGUGUGGGCAAUUGGGUAUUCCUUUGCAAACCUGAAGCUGCGAGUGCUUGGUCCGAGUUGGGCAAGUUGGUGUUUCUUAACUAUGAAAGUCUGAUACGCGUCCUCCCCUAAACUUCUGUUAGAACGGUGGGAAACAUUGCUCCCGUGAGAACGGUAUAGUGGACUUCAUCGCCACUGACCCACAUUUAUUAGGGUGUGACACGAACUUGUGGACAGAGUACCGAGCUGCUGCUUUGCCAGGUGGAUUUCUGGCUGCGGGCAAAGGACCCGACACAUCGGUGUGUUUUAAUUUGUUUUAAACUGGUGUAAGCCGACAGACUGACUGCUGCGGCUGUCGAUGGUUUUGUUUUUUUGUUUUACUUUUUUUCUGUAUCAGUAGGCAACACAGA